Molecule: microRNA precursor, 68 nt
Filed under: Bombyx mori (domestic silkworm)
Lineage: Eukaryota; Metazoa; Arthropoda; Insecta; Lepidoptera; Bombycidae
Description: mir-2774 microRNA precursor family
Rfam family: mir-2774 microRNA precursor family
Source: Rfam by way of RNAcentral
ACAACAUUCGGACCGUCGGUCUACCGAGUAAUUAGACCAGCUCAGUGGAAGAUGUUUCCUUUCGUCAU